AUUCCAUGAUGAGGACACUUUUGUAAUAAUUAUUUGUACCAUUCCCACGCCUCAUACAAGGACUCAUCAUCCAUUUGUUGGAAAGUACUGAUUUCAUUCCUCAACUU
Gossypium arboreum is the source of this 107-nucleotide non-coding RNA. NCBI's taxonomy places the organism in Eukaryota, Viridiplantae, Streptophyta, Magnoliopsida, Malvales, Malvaceae. The record is from Rfam.